This 340-nucleotide long non-coding RNA is filed under the name Nicotiana benthamiana. RNAcentral's name for it is "long non-coding RNA (NBEN_LNC018794)". The record is from RNAcentral. Lineage: Eukaryota; Viridiplantae; Streptophyta; Magnoliopsida; Solanales; Solanaceae.
CACUUUCUUCCACCCUCAUUAUUCCAAACCGUCAAAUUCUCUUACAAUCUAAAUUAUUCUCUCUUCCAAAAGCCAAACUCCCAAAUUCUCUAGAGAAAUCAGUCACAAUGUCUAACCCUUAAGAUAAACCAGGCACUCCUCCUCAAACCACUUCGUCUGAUUCUCCCACAUCUAUACAACCUCGUACAGCCCCCAGCAUAGGAGGAAACGUGUAAAAAUGUUCGCUCAUAAAACUGUGGCUACACGUGUAUUGUCAAAAAGACUGAAUGCACAAUUGAAGGCUAACCAAGCCCAAGAAUCUGAACACUCAGACGAUUCCUUCAAGUCUGCAAGUGAGGGG